AACGAACGCUGGCGGCAUGCCUAACACAUGCAAGUCGAACGAGACCUUCGGGUCUAGUGGCGCACGGGUGCGUAACGCGUGGGAACCUGCCCUUAGGUUCGGAAUAACUCCCCGAAAGGGGUGCUAAUACCGGAUAAUGUCUUCGGACCAAAGAUUUAUCGCCUUUGGAUGGGCCCGCGUUGGAUUAGCUAGUUGGUAGGGUAAAAGCCUACCAAGGCGACGAUCCAUAGCUGGUCUGAGAGGAUGAUCAGCCACACUGGGACUGAGACACGGCCCAGACUCCUACGGGAGGCAGCAGUGGGGAAUAUUGGACAAUGGGCGAAAGCCUGAUCCAGCAAGGCCGCGUGAGUGAUGAAGGCCUUAGGGUUGUAAAGCUCUUUUACCAGGGAUGAUAAUGACAGUACCGGGAGAAUAAGCUCCGGCUAACUCCGUG
Molecule: ribosomal RNA, 433 nt
Filed under: uncultured bacterium
Lineage: Bacteria
Description: partial 16S ribosomal RNA
Rfam family: Bacterial small subunit ribosomal RNA
Source: RNAcentral